RNAcentral lists this ribosomal RNA (446 nucleotides) under Fusarium poae. RNAcentral describes it as "eukaryotic LSU rRNA". It matches the Rfam family "Eukaryotic large subunit ribosomal RNA", at positions 1 to 437 of the family's 3401-position model. Lineage: Eukaryota; Fungi; Ascomycota; Sordariomycetes; Hypocreales; Nectriaceae. The record is from RNAcentral.
AACUUCUGAAUGUUGACCUCGGAUCAGGUAGGAAUACCCGCUGAACUUAAGCAUAUCAAUAAGCGGAGGAAAAGAAACCAACAGGGAUUGCCCUAGUAACGGCGAGUGAAGCGGCAACAGCUCAAAUUUGAAAUCUGGCUCUCGGGCCCGAGUUGUAAUUUGUAGAGGAUGACUUUGAUGCGGUGCCUUCCGAGUUCCCUGGAACGGGACGCCAUAGAGGGUGAGAGCCCCGUCUGGUUGGAUGCCAAAUCUCUGUAAGUCUCCUUCGACGAGUCGAGUAGUUUGGGAAUGCUGCUCUAAAUGGGAGGUAUAUGUCUUCUAAAGCUAAAUACCGGCCAGAGACCGAUAGCGCACAAGUAGAGUGAUCGAAAGAUGAAAAGCACUUUGAAAAGAGAGUUAAAAAGUACGUGAAAUUGUUGAAAGGGAAGCGUUUAUGACCAGACUUG